GAUGGAAAGCCUUCACAGGG
Molecule: non-coding RNA, 20 nt
Filed under: Rattus norvegicus (Norway rat)
Lineage: Eukaryota; Metazoa; Chordata; Mammalia; Rodentia; Muridae
Source: RNAcentral